This 2018-nucleotide long non-coding RNA is filed under the name Olea europaea subsp. europaea. Lineage: Eukaryota; Viridiplantae; Streptophyta; Magnoliopsida; Lamiales; Oleaceae. The record is from RNAcentral.
GUUGGAAGGUUUUUGCAGGGAGGGAAUACUGGAGGAAGCAAAGACUUUAUUUGAGUCUAUGGAAAGAGAUGGUCUUUUUCCAAAUGUGGAGAGCUAUAAUAUAUGGCUAUUGGCUUUUGGUGAAAAAAUGGGAAGGAAAAAACUUCAUUCAAUCGCGAUGAAUUACAUGCCUUGAGUAUAAAUAGACUGCCAACUAACUAUCUAACCAUACAACUAAUACGAAGAUUACACGAGGCUAACCCUCACUAACUAACUGAAGUCCUUAACUAAUUUGUUUACAGCCCGAUGAGCUGACCUAGGCUAGGGAUUUCUUCUGUUACUUUUGGAGGUUCAAACUAUCCUUGAAGAGAUGAUUUACCAUGGUUUGGAGCCAAAUUAAUGCUCAUAAAAAACUUUGAUUGCUGGGCUCUACAAGAAUGAUAUGCUUGCUGAUGCUAGAGCAGUUGUAGGUUUGAUGAUUAUGAGCAAAAUUUCCCUAGAUGCAGUCACUUAUAGCACUCUGCUUCAUGUACCUAGCAGAAAAGGAAACGUAAUUGAGGCCAAUAAAAUUCUAAAUGAUAUGAUAAGGGCAGGACAUGUUCCAAAUACUUACAUUUUCAAUAUACACUGCACAGUAUGUGGACAGAAGAUAAAGCUUCUGAAGCUGAGAAGUUACUGCAAAAGAUUAAUGAAAAAGGGCAUGGAUUGGAUCCUGUGAGCUGUAAUAUUGUGAUUGAUGAUCUGUGUAGAAGUGGGAAGGUUGACAAAGCAGUUGAAAUUGUGAGUGAGAUGUGGACUCAUGGAAGUGCUGCUCUAGGCAACUUGGGAAUUUUAUUUAUAGGUCUAGUGGACAACAACGGAGAAAAAUGCUUACCUGACUUGAUCACUUAUUCAACAAGGAAGGAAGAUAUAUUUAUAUAUAUCUCGUGUAAGUGGGGGAAGAUAUCAUCUGCAUUUAGGUUCUCAAAGAUAUGGAGAGGAAAGGUUGCAAAAAGAGUUUACAAACUUAUAAUUCAUUGAUCCUUGGUCUAGGAAGUAAGAAGCAAAUAUUUGAAAUGUUUAGCAUGCUGAAUGAGAUGAAAGAAACAGGUGUUUCUCCUGAUACUUCACUUACAAUGAUGUUUUUCACUGUCUGUGUGAAGGAGGAAGAAGUGAAAAAGCUACUUCUCUUUUAGAUGAGAUGUUGCAAAAAGGGAUGACACCCAACAUAUAUUCCUUUAAGUUGUUAAUAAAAACUUUCUGCAGGACAGGUCAGUUCAGACAGGCACAGGAGGCAUUUAACAUUGACCUUAGUAAAUAUGGCCACGAAGAAGUACUUUAUAGUCUAAUUUCAAUGAAUUUCUUGCAGGGGAGGAGAUCUUGGAAGCUAAUCGGUUAUUUGAAUCUUCAUUAGACAAAUGUUUUGAUUUGGGAAGCUUUCGUUACAGAGAUAUCACAAAUAGACUACGUCAAGGCGAAAAUGGAGAAUACUGAAAUCCUCAAAAAAAUGAUAGAGAAUGGAUUGAAGUUUGACCCUGUAACAUUUAUGCCUGUGAUUGAUUGUUUACCUGAAAGCAGAAAUAAGCAUGAGGUUGAUGAACUAAAAGAGAGGAUGCUGUCAAUGGCUUUAGAAAGUGAGAUGGAAGAUAAGAUUAAGCAGCAAUGCAGGGAGUCAAAGAAUGGGGAAAAAUAACAAUGGUGGAAGUGAGUGGCAAACCAUUAUGCAAAGGUAUGUUACUGAAAUGGAUCGUGACUUGUUUUCUGAUCUGAUAUUAAAAUAAAAUUUAGCCAUUUUAAUUAAUUUCUAAGUGUUAUGCCCUAAGUCCAAUCAACUUUGGACAUAAAUACUUUUAAUAUAUGGUUGAUGCAAUUUCAUGGUAGAUUUAUUAUUUAAUUAAUGUUUAAUUAAAUUAAAUAAUAAAGUUCAUAGAUUUAAAUUUUGGUAAUUUGUUAAUUACGAGGAGUUGUGAUUUUAAGAUGCAAAUUACAUAUGAUUGAAUCUUAAAUAGUCUAUGGUCGUAAAUACUAACGAGAUACGAAUAUCGUUAUUAGAGAUAAAC